GCUUGCAUAGUGCCUCCAUCACAUCCUUCGUGUCUCCUGGCUGGGGGACCCCAGUAGCUGGGCCGGGGGGAGGAGAUGGGAUGCCAAGGAAAGUCAGUUUGCACAUCUGUAAAAUGGGCACAACAUACUGUCCUCAGGCUUGUGUGGUGAGGUGGGGCAGUUGGGUGAAUCAGUACCGGUCCGGGCGUGGGGGCGAGCCCAGCAGGAAGUGCUCGUCAGUGUCCGCAGCCUUCCCUCCGCCCUCCGGGUCUGCGCCAGGGCCUGGGUCAGCAGGGUCAGGAAAAGGGAGGCCCAGUGGGUAGACACAGCCUCUGCCCUGGGGGAGCCUCCUUCUCCAGGGGGUGCCGUGACUCUUUGGGGGAGCCCUGCCCCAGGUCAGGGCCUUGACCUCUUUUUCUCCACAGCACUGUCUGCUGGGCUGGGACGUUCUCCCUCCAAAACCCGAGGAAAGCUCCGGCCCCCGGAGCCUGGACCUCUGGUCCUGUGUCACCUCCGAGGCCCAGCACCAGCCGCUGUCGGCCGGCCCUUCCCACCUGGCCCAGUCAGUGCGGGUCCCGUCCCCCACCCCGAUCUGGUCAGAACCCCAGGCGCCCCAGCCCCGCCCGCGCACCCUGGUGGACGACCUGAGGACUGGCCACUUGGAGGACAGUGCUCCUGCCGUCGCCUCCAGCCUCUUCCCUCUGGCAGGGGUGCCCGUGAGAGGGGAGCCCUGCCCGGCCUCAGCUAGAGGUGGACUCAGGCCCCACCCUCCUAGGUGGGGCCGGUGGGUAGGCCCAGGCCUGUCUCCUUCCUGGGCUCAGAAGGGGUGACGGGUGGGAGGUCAGGGCAUUCUGUCAGCCGUGUUUGGAAAUAAAGCUCAGUGCUGUCUGCCCCUCCGGA
This is a long non-coding RNA of Myotis lucifugus (little brown bat), 879 nucleotides long. RefSeq lists it as uncharacterized. The transcript has 2 exons. NCBI's taxonomy places the organism in Eukaryota, Metazoa, Chordata, Mammalia, Chiroptera, Vespertilionidae. The record is from RefSeq and is a predicted model, not a curated record.